This 312-nucleotide ribosomal RNA is filed under the name uncultured Robiginitalea sp. RNAcentral describes it as "bacterial SSU rRNA". It matches the Rfam family "Bacterial small subunit ribosomal RNA", at positions 28 to 334 of the family's 1533-position model. Lineage: Bacteria; Pseudomonadati; Bacteroidota; Flavobacteriia; Flavobacteriales; Flavobacteriaceae. The record is from RNAcentral.
GAUGAACGCUAGCGGCAGGCCUAACACAUGCAAGUCGAACGGUAACAUAGAGAAGCUUGCUUUUCUGAUGACGAGUGGCGCACGGGUGCGUAACGCGUAUAGAACCAACCCUUUACAGGGGGAUAGCCCGGAGAAAUUCGGAUUAAUACCCCAUAGUACUAUUUAGAGGCAUCUUUAGAUGGUUAAAGAGAUUCGGUAAAGGAUGGCUAUGCGUCCUAUUAGUUGGUAGGUGAGGUAACGGCUCACCUAGACUUCGAUAGGUAGGGGCCCUGAGAGGGGGAUCCCCCACACUGGUACUGAGACACGGACCAG